GUACCAAACAAUCAGCUUCUAAAAAUAGGAGAAUCAAGAACAGAAGCAGCCGAUUGGAUCAACAAAAAUAUAGUCCCAUAUCUCCCAUCAACUAACAUCACAUAUAUUGCUGUUGGCAAUGAAGUCCUCACAUCAAUCCCAAAUGCUGCUCUUGUUUUUGUUCCAGCAAUGGAAUUCCUUCAGUCUGCUCUUGUAGCUGCCAACCUCAAUCACCAAGUGAAAAUCUCGAGUCCUCAAUCCAUGGACAUGAUACCCAAAUCUUUCCCUCCAUCUACCGCCACCUUCAAUUCUUCAUGGGACUCUAUAAUGUUUAAGUUCCUCCAAUUCUUGAAGAAUACAGGAUCUACUUACAUGCUAAAUGCACAACCGUAUCACGCUUACAUAAAAGGAAACGAUAUCUUUCCUAUAGAGUAUGCUCUUUUUAGGUCUCUAACUCCAAAUAAUCAAAUUGUGGACCCAAACACACUAUUUCAAUAUACCAACAUGUUUGAUGCAAUGGUCGAUGCUUCGUACUUUUCUAUGCAAGCGAUGAAUUUUUCAAAUAUCCCUGUUCUUGUAACAGCAUCAGGGUGGCCAUCAUUCGGUGGUGCGAUUGAACCCGAUGCUACUGUUGAUCUUUACACCUUAUUUCCGCACGAAUUAUUGAAGAUGGACUGAUGCAUAUGGUGAUCUGUCGUGUCAUCUUGGGAAGCACAGAUUCAAUACUUCCCGGCUCAAGACAAACAAGUCCAAUUUCAGGAGAUUUUGAUUAUGGUGUAGAUAACCAGCAAACUCCUUCAAAGUAUAGUCUGCUAUCCACAUGUCAAGACGCAUGUACUGCCUCUUUAUGCGGUUACUUUCAAAAUAAAUCUUAAUUCAGGAGAGUUGCAGAUAGAAUUAGAUGCCACAGUGCCGGCUUCAAUUGGAUAAUAAAGUACUCCAAUUUCUUGAGCAUCAGGAUACCAGCCAGCUCCUUAUUUCCAUUGUUUUGACAGCUAUAAUUUGAAGAACUUACCACCAUUGAAUACAUGAAGACAACAAUGAGGCCAGCACGAAAGGAGUUGCCAGUUCAAAAGCGUUAGAGGUGGCAAAAGGAAAGAAUUGAUCUUAUGACAUCUUCAUUUCCUGCUUGAUGAAUUGAAAAUGUGCUGUAUACAACUCUCUCAACUGCGGAAACUACAACAAGUUUCAAGGAACAGACUGAUUGGCUAUCUGGAAUGGUAGACGUUUGGAUAUUCAAAUAUGAUUAGCUAUCUGGAACAAUGGUUGUUUGGAUAUUCAAAUACUAAUUGUGUAUGAUUUAAAAUAACAAAAUGGUUACGAGAUUGGCAAAAUACAGAAAAUACCUAAUUAAGCACCAUUAUCGAUUGAUACAUUUCUAUUUUUAA
Asparagus officinalis (garden asparagus) is the source of this 1367-nucleotide long non-coding RNA. RefSeq lists it as uncharacterized. The transcript is spliced from 4 exons. NCBI's taxonomy places the organism in Eukaryota, Viridiplantae, Streptophyta, Magnoliopsida, Asparagales, Asparagaceae. The record is from RefSeq and is a predicted model, not a curated record.